GGUUCCUUGGUCUAGUUGGUUAUGGCAUCUCGUUAACACCGAGAAAGUCUCCGGUUCAAUCCCAGACAGAACCA
Molecule: non-coding RNA, 74 nt
Organism: Fusarium venenatum
Lineage: Eukaryota; Fungi; Ascomycota; Sordariomycetes; Hypocreales; Nectriaceae
Source: the annotation of a RefSeq genome assembly